Helianthus annuus (common sunflower) is the source of this 1127-nucleotide long non-coding RNA. RefSeq lists it as uncharacterized. The record is from RefSeq and is a predicted model, not a curated record. NCBI's taxonomy places the organism in Eukaryota, Viridiplantae, Streptophyta, Magnoliopsida, Asterales, Asteraceae. The transcript has 4 exons.
AAUUCCCGCCUAUGUCUGUUCCCCCAAAAUUUUGAUUUGCCUCUCAUUCUCAAUUUUAGAAUUGGACGCCAUCUCCCAUCACCCCCCACCCCCCAUCGAAAUUCUCUCCCUCAACCUCUAUCGAUCAUUUCCUUCAUUCGAUCCCAAUCCCCCAUACCCCAAACGGAAGGUCGUCUCCUCCCAUCGAUUUCUGCCAAUUUACCACUAAUGAACUGCGGCUGAGUGACCGACGAACCACCACUGCACCAUCAGAUAAUCUAUCAUAACUGCUCGGUUCCUUGUUGCUCGACUCCACAUCGCUUCAAUCAUAACUUCAUCCCUGAGCAAAAUGUGAAACAUCAUUUUCUGGAACAGGCAUUGGUACAUUGCUAGACAAGUGAAAAUCCAAAGCCACGUGGUUGCAUUUUUUAAAGGAGAUGAUUGUUGUGUUUUAGUUAUAAUGUAAAUGCCACAACUCCCAGACGUAUGAUGAACCCAAAUAGGUCAAAAUGUCUAAGAAAAACAUCUUUUGUUGUGCUCAACAGUUAAUAUUAAAGAGACCCGAUCAUAUGUUAGUUGACUCAUAUAGAUUAUUUAUUGAGUGCGACCGUGUUCAAGUUCCUGUUGUUGGUGACUCAGGUUUUGCAAAUGGAAUCUUCAAUUGUGAAUUUCUUGAAGUUUGAAUUGACAACACCACCUGUUAGAUGUUUCUUGAGAAGAUCUGUGUGUGUUGCUCAUGUGGUAAGGUAUAAAAAUAAAUUUUUUAUGCUUUUAAUUGGGUCAAUUUCUAUGAGGUGUAAAAACAAAUCCUUGGUUCCCCACACAUACAUGAUUCCGGAAGGGCAUAUGAUAUCAUUUAAAUUAAAAAACCAGUUGCUAGAAAUGCGCAAUGAGAUUGAAGAGGAUCAUGAAACUAAAACAAGCCAAGCUCGAAGCUAUGCAAAAUAUAUAUAUUGAGAGCCAACAACAAAACCUGGAAGCUAUGAUGCAUUAUGUAUUUAUGUUAUACAAAGUGCUAGUUAGAGAUCGAGAAGCGUAGAAUGUUCAAUUUCUCUUUAAUCUACAUCUUGUGUUGACUAUAUUGUUACUUGAGUUUGAAUAACCAUCUAAAGUACACCAUUUUACUAUUAAUGAUAUGUGUUUUACUA